Molecule: microRNA precursor, 87 nt
Organism: Pan troglodytes (chimpanzee)
Lineage: Eukaryota; Metazoa; Chordata; Mammalia; Primates; Hominidae
Rfam family: mir-6134 microRNA precursor family
Source: Rfam
UCAGUAGGGAACUGACCCUCUAUUUCCACCUGCAUAAAUGAAGCUGAAUGAGGUGGUAGGAUGUAGAGCUAGUUGACACUCUGCUUU